GAUGAAGAACGUAGCGAAAUGCGAUACUUGGUGUGAAUUGCAGAAUCCCGUGAACCAUCGAGUCUUUGAACGCAAGUUGCGCCCGAAGCCAUUAGGCCGAGGGCACGCCUGCCUGGGUGUCACACGUCGUUGCCCCCCCAUCUACUCCUUCGGGAUUGCAGGGGGCGGAUGAUGGCCUCCCGUGCGCCUCGUCGCGCGGUUGGCAUAAAUGCCAAGUCCUCGGCGACGCACGCCACGACAAUCGGUGGUUGCGAAACCUCGGUUGCCCGUCGUGUGCGGUCGUCGCGCAUCGAGGGCUCGAAAAAAUUGCCGGGCUCCGGCUCGGCUUUCAACGCGACCCCAGGUCAGGCGGGGUUACCCGCUGAAUUUAAGCAUAUCAAUAAGCGGAGGA
RNAcentral lists this unclassified non-coding RNA (391 nucleotides) under soil metagenome. Its description in RNAcentral is "partial contains 5.8S ribosomal RNA, internal transcribed spacer 2, and large subunit ribosomal RNA". The stretch from base 1 to 122 matches the Rfam family "5.8S ribosomal RNA", at positions 35 to 154 of the family's 154-position model. The record is from RNAcentral.